CAAAGACUUCAGGAGAAUCUGCAGCAAAGUCAUGCAACUGGUAUCCUCCAGCCACAAACACACCAGCUCUGAGGGCUCUGCAAGCUUGCUGAGGAAGACUGCAGACAUUUGGCUCCCGACUGCACCUUGUGACUAGCAAAAUGCUUGUGACACAGCCAACAUCCACACAGCUCCUUGCUCUGUUAGCAGAGAGCACAGAAGCAAUGGCACCGGAGGAGCAAGAAGCACACCCACUACGCAGGUCUUCGUUUCUAAUACCAUUCAUUCUCCAGUAAAUGGAACCAAGGUCCUUGGAGACAUCGAUGCUUCUAGAAAUGGGGCAGGAAACAUUCAGAAUGGCCUGGAACAUCGUGUUUUGCCACGAAGAAGGAAGUUCAAACAAAAAAGUCAACAAAAUCUGUACUCAGUGUUGGGGGUAUGUCAAAGGGACCUAUGAGCCAACUGAAAGAGCUCUCAGCGGCCAAAGCUAGGACAGUUUGAGCAACCUGAUAAAUAAAUAAAAUAGUAUUAGACUAUGACCCAAAAUAAAUAUCUACAAGUACACCUGAUAGAAAUAAAUGAUUGAAUAAGCUCAUGGGAAAGAACAGACAAAUGUCCCAUGCAGAAUUGUGAAUAAUUAAUGUAGAUUCUCUGCCCUCAAGUUGGUGGAGCACAACUCCACACUCCUUAAGUGCAGGCUGGGCAUAGUGACUUUUUUUCUGCCAAAGAGCAUGGAAAAGGAGAAAGUAUGGAAAGGGAGAAAGAAGAGUCCCUUUACAGGGAGUCGCUGACAGGCAGUACCUCAAGCCAGGUGGUGAAGACCA
This is a long non-coding RNA of Artibeus jamaicensis (Jamaican fruit-eating bat), 803 nucleotides long. RefSeq lists it as uncharacterized. Lineage: Eukaryota; Metazoa; Chordata; Mammalia; Chiroptera; Phyllostomidae. The transcript is spliced from 3 exons. The record is from RefSeq and is a predicted model, not a curated record.